Molecule: ribosomal RNA, 913 nt
Filed under: Pantoea agglomerans
Lineage: Bacteria; Pseudomonadati; Pseudomonadota; Gammaproteobacteria; Enterobacterales; Erwiniaceae
Description: bacterial LSU rRNA
Rfam family: Bacterial large subunit ribosomal RNA
Source: RNAcentral
AGCGACUAAGCGUACACGGUGGAUGCCCAGGCAGUCAGAGGCGAUGAAGGACGUGCUAAUCUGCGUAAAGCGACGGUAAGGUGAUAUGAACCGCUACAGCCGUCGAUGUCCGAAUGGGGAAACCCGGUGCACUCUGUGCAUCAUUGCAGCAUGAAUACAUAGUGCUGCAAGGCGAACCGGGGGAACUGAAACAUCUAAGUACCCCGAGGAAAAGAAAUCAACCGAGACUCCCCCAGUAGCGGCGAGCGAACGGGGAGCAGCCCAGAGCCUGAAUCAGUUUGUGUGUUAGUGGAAGCGUCUGGAAGGUCGCAGGGUACAGGGUGAUACUCCCGUACACAAAAACACACAAGCUGUGAGCUCGAUGAGUAAGGCGGGACACGUGGUAUCCUGUCUGAAUAUGGGGGGACCAUCCUCCAAGGCUAAAUACUCCUGACUGACCGAUAGUGAACCAGUACCGUGAGGGAAAGGCGAAAAGAACCCCGGCGAGGGGAGUGAAACAGAACCUGAAACCGUGUACGUACAAGCAGUGGGAGCCUUCUUUAUGGGGGUGACUGCGUACCUUUUGUAUAAUGGGUCAGCGACUUAUAUUCUGUAGCAAGGUUAACCGUAUAGGGGAGCCGCAGGGAAACCGAGUCUUAGCUGGGCGUUAAGUUGCAGGGUAUAGACCCGAAACCCGGUGAUCUAGCCAUGGGCAGGUUGAAGGUUGGGUAACACUAACUGGAGGACCGAACCGACUAAUGUUGAAAAAUUAGCGGAUGACCUGUGGCUGGGGGUGAAAGGCCAAUCAAACCGGGAGAUAGCUGGUUCUCCCCGAAAGCUAUUUAGGUAGCGCCUCGUGAACUCAUCUUCGGGGGUAGAGCACUGUUUCGGCUAGGGGGCCAUCCCGGCUUACCAACCCGAUGCAAACUGCGAA